AUAUCAAUAAGCGGAGGAAAAGAAACUAACAAGGAUUCCCCUAGUAACUGCGAGUGAAGCGGGAAAAGCUCAAAUUUAAAAUCUGGUCGUCCUUGCUGGCCGUCCGAGUUGUAAUCUAGAGAAGCGUUAUCCGCGCUUGGACCGUGUACAAGUCUCCUGGAAUGGAGCGUCAUAGAGGGUGAGAAUCCCGUCUUUGACACGGACUAGCCAGGGCUUUGUGAUGCGCUCUCGAAAGAGUCGAGUUGUUUGGGAAUGCAGCUCUAAAAUGGGUGGUAAAUUCCAUCUAAAGCUAAAUAUUGGCGAGAGACCGAUAGCGAACAAGUACCGUGAGGGAAAGAUGAAAAGCACUUUGGAAAGAGAGUUAAACAGUAC
RNAcentral lists this ribosomal RNA (372 nucleotides) under uncultured fungus. RNAcentral describes it as "eukaryotic LSU rRNA". It matches the Rfam family "Eukaryotic large subunit ribosomal RNA", at positions 40 to 398 of the family's 3401-position model. The record is from RNAcentral. Lineage: Eukaryota; Fungi.